Molecule: long non-coding RNA, 794 nt
Filed under: Mus musculus (house mouse)
Lineage: Eukaryota; Metazoa; Chordata; Mammalia; Rodentia; Muridae
Description: long non-coding RNA chr2:129419340-129420134
Source: RNAcentral
GAAGGAUACGGUCUGGGAGAGAAGGACUGUGCUUGGCGGAGAAGUGAGAGAUGCUCUGCUUUGAGGACAGAAAGUCACAAACAAUAUUUCCAACUGCCACUGGUCUUGUGUCCUUUGUACACAAACAGUGGAACUGGUUGGUUGUUCAAGAGGACAGCGAGACACUGGGGAUCAUUUGAAUGCUUUUGCAGGUCCCAGAGGAUGGAGUGGGAAUAAGAGGAAAGCAGAGGUCAGCCCAAGGAAAAGAAGUCUCUGUCUGUGAGCGGGGGCUGCUUCCCAGAAAAGACAACACCCAGUGACCUACUUAGCAAAUGGAAACACAAACCAGAGAAAUCAGCCAAGGUCAUGGAUACACAGCCUCUCCUGACCAGCUAACUCCAGGUGUUCAGAGCAAGAACAAAAUGUGCUGACAUGAGGGAGUUCCCUUAAACUUCCCUGGGCAACAAAUCACAGACUGUUGAAUUUCUUGCUUUUCUAAGACUUUGUUAAAUAAAUGGCAGCAGCAAGCUGAGGUCCAGUCUAUAUGUGCUUUCCUGGUUUGGAUGAAGGCAACAUCUAAGAACAGCUCUUCCCCGGUGAGUACUUUAUGUUAAGGCUGGAUAGGCUUCCUUUGAACUGGCCCCCUGAGGUCACUGAAAUCUCCACAAACCAGGUGCUUUAGACCUACUCUGAUGGAAUCCAUAUGCUCCAGUGUUCACCUCAUUAGAUACAUUUUCUAGGUGAGUUCUGAAAUAAUUGUAUUCAAAGCUUAAUAAUUGCCAGGAAGACGAAAGAGGUCAGAUUUUAUAGGCCCA